GAUGUAGAGAAAGAUGACUCCCAAACUCAAAUUGCUAAUCAAAAUUCUCCAAUUGGUAGUUGUCCAAGUAGAGGUUCUGACACAAAAUCUGAAGGAAAAUUUUUUGAUUUGAUCGGAUCGUCAGGGAGUGAUUUGAAAUUUUUUUUAUUCUAAGGAUUAUAUAAUAAUUAUGUUUACCUUAAUUUACAGUAGAAUAGGGAUCAAAAUCUCUGAGAAAACUUAAAUCUGAUAUCUCAUGAGGUCUGAAC
Molecule: long non-coding RNA, 248 nt
Filed under: Elaeis guineensis (African oil palm)
Lineage: Eukaryota; Viridiplantae; Streptophyta; Magnoliopsida; Arecales; Arecaceae
Description: long non-coding RNA (EGUI_LNC029451)
Source: RNAcentral